GGGCGGCAUGGAGGUCAUCCUCCCCCAGGCUGGGGGCCCGGUGGACAGAAUCCCUCAGAGAGCCCCAAGGGGGCAGGCCCAGCCUCAGGGUCGGACAGUGGACAUAGAGAUAUUUCUCCUUCCAGUUGUGGAUUGAAGAGGGGGCACCUUUCAGCAACCCCUUCUUGCUGAACUGAGGAGAGAAAUACCACCAGUCCUUCGCCGAAGGAUGACG
RNAcentral lists this long non-coding RNA (214 nucleotides) under Elaeis guineensis (African oil palm). RNAcentral's name for it is "long non-coding RNA (EGUI_LNC005009)". Lineage: Eukaryota; Viridiplantae; Streptophyta; Magnoliopsida; Arecales; Arecaceae. The record is from RNAcentral.